UACGGAGGAUUCAAGCGUUAUCCGGAUUUACUGGGUGUAAAGGGAGCGUAGACGGUGAAGCAAGUCUGGAGUGAAAGGCGGGGGCUCAACCCCCGGACUGCUUUGGAAACUGUUUGACUGGAGUGCAGGAGAGGUAAGUGGAAUUCCUAGUGUAGCGGUGGAAUGCGUAGAUAUUAGGAGGAACAUCAGUGGCGAAGGCGACUUUCUGGACUGUAACUGACGCUGAGGCACGAAAGUGUGGGGAGCAAACAGG
RNAcentral lists this ribosomal RNA (253 nucleotides) under uncultured Eubacteriales bacterium. RNAcentral's name for it is "uncultured Clostridiales bacterium partial 16S ribosomal RNA". It matches the Rfam family "Bacterial small subunit ribosomal RNA", at positions 524 to 776 of the family's 1533-position model. The record is from RNAcentral. Lineage: Bacteria; Bacillati; Bacillota; Clostridia; Eubacteriales.